GACGAACGCUGGCGGCGUGCUUAACACAUGCAAGUCGAACGGUGAAGCGCCUUCCUUUUUGGUGGGUGUGGAUGAGUGGCGAACGGGUGAGUAACACGUGAGUAACCUGCCCCCUUCUUCUGGAUAACCGCAUGAAAGUGUGGCUAAUACGGGAUAUUCUGGGUCUGUCGCAUGAUGGGUCUGGGAAAGAUAUUGUUUCGGUGGGGGAUGGGCUCGCGGCCUAUCAGCUUGUUGGUGGGGUGAUGGCCUACCAAGGCGGUGACGGGUAGCCGGCCUGAGAGGGUGGACGGUCACACUGGGACUGAGACACGGCCCAGACUACUACGGGAGGCAGCAGUGGGGAAUAUUGCACAAUGGGCGCAAGGCUGAUGCAGCGACGCCGCGUGAGGGAUGGAGGCCUUCGGGUUGUGAACCUCUUUCGCCAGUGAAGCAGGCCUGCCUCGUUUGUGGGUGGGUUGACGGUAGCUGGAUAAGAAGCGCCGGCUAACUACGUG
RNAcentral lists this ribosomal RNA (494 nucleotides) under uncultured bacterium. RNAcentral's name for it is "partial 16S ribosomal RNA". It matches the Rfam family "Bacterial small subunit ribosomal RNA", at positions 28 to 507 of the family's 1533-position model. The record is from RNAcentral.